AACACGUGGGUAAUUUACCUUUAAGUCGGGGACAACCCUUCGAAAGGAGGGCUAAUACCGGAUGUGAUCUCCUGUCGCAUGAUAGGAAGAUUAAAGGCGGGGACCUUUAGGGGCCUGUCGCUUGAAGAGAAGCCCGCGUCCCAUCAGCUUGUUGGUGAGGUAAUGGCUCACCAGGGCUUACGGGUAGCUGGUCUGAGAGGAUGACCAGCCACACUAGGACUGAGACACUGCCCAGACUCCUACGGGAGGCUGCAGUCGAGGAUCAUUUGCAAUGCGCGAAAGCGUGACAAUGCGACGCUGCGUGAAGGAUGAAGGCCUUCGGGUUGUAAACUUUUGUCAUUCGGAAACAAAGGCAAGAGGGGUAAUACCCCUUUUUGAUUGAGGGUACCGGAAGAGGAAGCCACGGCUAACUCUGUGCCAGCAGCCGCGGUAAUACAGAGGUGGCGAGCGUUGUUCGGAUUUACUGGGCGUAAAGAGUGCGUAGGUGGUUUAGUAUGUCGGAUGUGAAAGCCCAUGGCUCAACCGUGGAAGUGCAUCCGAAACUGCUAAGCUAGAGUGCAGGAUGGGAGAGCGGAAUUUUUGGUGUAGCGGUGAAAUGCGUUGAUAUCAAGAAGAACACCGGUGGCGAAGGCGGCUCUCUGGAAUGUUACUGACACUGAGGCACGAAAGCUGGGGGAGCGAACAGGAUUAGAUACCCUGGUAGUCCCAGCCGUAAACGGUGUGAACUUGGUGUAGGGGGAAUUGACCCCCCCUGUGCCGUAGCAAACGCGUUAAGUUCACCGCCUGGGGAGUACGACCGCAAGGUUAAAACUCAAAGAAAUUGACGGGGGCCCGCACAAGCGGAGGAGCAUGUGGCUUAAUUCGAUGCAACGCGAAGAACCUUACCAGGGCUUGACAUGCAGCUGCACGCCUCCUGAAAGGGAGGAAGCUUUCGAAGGUGCUGCGCAGGUGCUGCAUGGCUGUCGUCAGUUCGUGCCGUGAGGUGUUGGGUUAAGUCCCGCAACGAACGCAACCCUUAUGUUUAGUUGCCACUCCAACUUCGGUUGGAAGCACUCUAGACAGACUGGCCGUGCAAGCGGGAGGAAGGUGGGGAUGACGUCAAGUCAGUAUGGCCCUUACGCCCUGGGCUGCACACGUGCUACAAUGACAGGUACAGAAGGAUGCAAUAUCGCGAGAUGGAGCAAAUCCUCAAAACCUGUCCCAGUUCGGAUUGGAGUCUGCAACUCGACUCCAUGAAGUUGGAUUCGCUAGUAACGGCGUAUCAGCAACGACGCCGUGAAUACGUUCCCGGGCCUUGUACACACCGCCCGUCACAUCAUGAAAGCCGUCUGCACUCGUAGUCGUUGAUCCAACCUGCAAAGGAGGAAGGCGCCGAAGGUGUGGGUGGUGAUUGGGAUGAAGUCGUAACAAGGUA
RNAcentral lists this ribosomal RNA (1414 nucleotides) under metagenome. Its description in RNAcentral is "bacterial SSU rRNA". It matches the Rfam family "Bacterial small subunit ribosomal RNA". The record is from RNAcentral.